RNAcentral lists this ribosomal RNA (489 nucleotides) under uncultured Glomeraceae. Its description in RNAcentral is "SSU rRNA". It matches the Rfam family "Eukaryotic small subunit ribosomal RNA", at positions 609 to 1098 of the family's 1831-position model. Lineage: Eukaryota; Fungi; Glomeromycota; Glomeromycetes; Glomerales; Glomeraceae. The record is from RNAcentral.
GUUGUUGCAGUUAAAAAGCUCGUAGUUGAAUUUCGGGAUCAAUGUUUCGGUCAUGCCGUUGGUAUGUACUGAUAUUAUUGGUUUCUCACCUUCUAAAGAACCGUAAUGCCAUUAAUUUGGUGUCACGGGGAAUUAGGACUGUUACCUUGAAAAAAUUAGAGUGUUUAAAGCAGGCUCACGCUUGAAUACAUUAGCAUGGAAUAAUGAAAUAGGACAUCCGAUUCUAUUUUGUUGGUUUCUAGGAUCGAUGUAAUGAUUAAUAGGGAUAGUUGGGGGCAUUAGUAUUCAAUUGUCAGAGGUGAGAUUCUUGGAUUUAUUGAAGACUAACUACUGCGAAAGCAUUUGCCAAGGAUGUUUUCAUUAAUCAAGAACGAAAGUUAGGGGAUCGAAGACGAUCAGAUACCGUCGUAGUCUUAACCAUAAACUAUGCCGACUAGGGAUCGGAUGAUGUUAAUUUUUUAAUGACUCAUUCGGCGCCUUACGGGAAAC